UACAGAGGGUGCCAGCGUUGUUCGGAAUCACUGGGCGUAAAGCGCGUGUAGGCGGUUUCCUAAGUCAGGUGUGAAAUCCCCCAGCUUAACUGGGGAAGUGCGCCUGAAACUGGGAGGCUUGAGUGUCGGAGAGGGUAGGGGAAUUCCCGGUGUAGAGGUGAAAUUCGUAGAUAUCGGGAGGAACACCGGUGGCGAAGGCGCCUACCUGGACGACAACUGACGCUGAGACGCGAAAGCGUGGGUAGCAAACAGG
RNAcentral lists this ribosomal RNA (253 nucleotides) under uncultured bacterium. RNAcentral's name for it is "partial 16S ribosomal RNA". It matches the Rfam family "Bacterial small subunit ribosomal RNA", at positions 524 to 776 of the family's 1533-position model. The record is from RNAcentral.